This 884-nucleotide ribosomal RNA is filed under the name uncultured bacterium. Its description in RNAcentral is "bacterial SSU rRNA". It matches the Rfam family "Bacterial small subunit ribosomal RNA", at positions 42 to 916 of the family's 1533-position model. The record is from RNAcentral.
ACAGGCUUAACACAUGCAAGUCGAGGGGCAGCAUGGUCUUAGCUUGCUAAGGCUGAUGGCGACCGGCGCACGGGUGAGUAACACGUAUCCAACCUGCCGUCUACUCUUGGCCAGCCUUCUGAAAGGAAGAUUAAUCCAGGAUGGCAUCAUGAGUUCACAUGUCCGCAUGAUUAAAGGUAUUUUCCGGUAGACGAUGGGGAUGCGUUCCAUUAGAUAGUAGGCGGGGUAACGGCCCACCUAGUCAACGAUGGAUAGGGGUUCUGAGAGGAAGGUCCCCCACAUUGGAACUGAGACACGGUCCAAACUCCUACGGGAGGCAGCAGUGAGGAAUAUUGGUCAAUGGGCGAUGGCCUGAACCAGCCAAGUAGCGUGAAGGAUGACUGCCCUAUGGGUUGUAAACUUCUUUUAUAAAGGAAUAAAGUCGGGUAUGCAUACCCGUUUGCAUGUACUUUAUGAAUAAGGAUCGGCUAACUCCGUGCCAGCAGCCGCGGUAAUACGGAGGAUCCGAGCGUUAUCCGGAUUUAUUGGGUUUAAAGGGAGCGUAGAUGGAUGUUUAAGUCAGUUGUGAAAGUUUGCGGCUCAACCGUAAAAUUGCAGUUGAUACUGGAUGUCUUGAGUGCAGUUGAGGCAGGCGGAAUUCGUGGUGUAGCGGUGAAAUGCUUAGAUAUCACGAAGAACUCCGAUUGCGAAGGCAGCCUGCUAAGCUGCAACUGACAUUGAGGCUCGAAAGUGUGGGUAUCAAACAGGAUUAGAUACCCUGGUAGUCCACACGGUAAACGAUGAAUACUCGCUGUUUGCGAUAUACGGCAAGCGGCCAAGCGAAAGCGUUAAGUAUUCCACCUGGGGAGUACGCCGGCAACGGUGCAACUCAAAGGAAUUGACGG